AAAAAAAAAAAGGACAACGCUUUUGAAUAUUAAUAACAAUGCAUACAGAAAGAAAGGAAGUUUUUGAGAAGAUAAACAAAGAAGGGUAAGGAUGGGUUAAAACUCCUGAAUAAUGUCUAUUGUACACAAACUCAACAAACCCAGAAUAAAAAAAACUCACGCCCUUGUCCAAGAAAUUGUUCCGCAAAAACCAAUCCCAGCAAA
This 204-nucleotide unclassified non-coding RNA is filed under the name Hevea brasiliensis (rubber tree). The record is from RNAcentral. Lineage: Eukaryota; Viridiplantae; Streptophyta; Magnoliopsida; Malpighiales; Euphorbiaceae.